This 501-nucleotide ribosomal RNA is filed under the name Acremonium sp. OY12307. RNAcentral's name for it is "eukaryotic LSU rRNA". The stretch from base 128 to 281 matches the Rfam family "5.8S ribosomal RNA". Lineage: Eukaryota; Fungi; Ascomycota; Sordariomycetes; Hypocreales; Bionectriaceae. The record is from RNAcentral.
CUUACCACUGUUUGCUUCGGCGGCCUCGCCCCGGGCGCGUUCGCGCGGCCCGGACCCAGGCGUCCGCCGGAGGCUCCAAACUCUUGUCUUUUAGUGUAUUUCUGAGUGGCAUAAGCAAAUAAAUCAAAACUUUCAGCAACGGAUCUCUUGGUUCUGGCAUCGAUGAAGAACGCAGCAAAAUGCGAUAAGUAAUGUGAAUUGCAGAAUUCAGUGAAUCAUCGAAUCUUUGAACGCACAUUGCGCCCGCCAGUAUUCUGGCGGGCAUGCCUGUCUGAGCGUCAUUUCAACCCUCAGGGCCCGUUCGCGGGACCUGGCGUUGGGGAUCAGCCUGCCCCUGGCGGCGGCUGGCCCUGAAAUCCAGUGGCGGUUCCCUCGCGAACUCCUCCGUGCAGUAAUUAAACCUCUCGCGGCAGGAUAGCGGUUGAACCACGCCGUUAAACCCCCCACUUCUCAAGGUUGACCUCAGAUCAGGUAGGAAUACCCGCUGAACUUAAGCAUAUC